This 253-nucleotide ribosomal RNA is filed under the name uncultured bacterium. RNAcentral's name for it is "partial 16S ribosomal RNA". It matches the Rfam family "Bacterial small subunit ribosomal RNA", at positions 524 to 776 of the family's 1533-position model. The record is from RNAcentral.
UACGUAGGGUGCGAGCGUUAAUCGGAAUUACUGGGCGUAAAGCGUGCGCAGGCGGUCUUGCAAGACAGUGGUGAAAUCCCCGGGCUCAACCUGGGAACUGCCAUUGUGACUGCAAGGCUGGAGUACGGCAGAGGGGGAUGGAAUUCCGCGUGUAGCAGUGAAAUGCGUAGAUAUGCGGAGGAACACCGAUGGCGAAGGCAGUCCCCUGGGCCUGUACUGACGCUCAUGCACGAAAGCGUGGGGAGCAAACAGG